RNAcentral lists this non-coding RNA (261 nucleotides) under Acetoanaerobium sticklandii. RNAcentral's name for it is "Clostridium sticklandii T-box sequence". It matches the Rfam family "T-box leader". Rfam says of the family: Uncharged tRNA acts as the effector for transcription antitermination of genes in the T-box leader family. T-boxes are found upstream of many aminoacyl-tRNA synthetase genes and some amino acid biosynthetic genes usually in Gram-positive bacteria. Lineage: Bacteria; Bacillati; Bacillota; Clostridia; Peptostreptococcales; Filifactoraceae. The record is from RNAcentral.
CAAAAGACUAUGAAGAGAAGAGUAAAUCAGAUUGGUAGUUACAGAGAGCCGCAGAUGGUGAGAAAGCGGUACGGAUUUUUGAUUGAAGAACAUCUCAGAGUUGCUAACCGAAAGCCUUGAGUGAGUAGACUUAGUCGGAGCCAGACCGUUAUAUCUGGUAGAUAUCGACAGCAUUUAUUGUCCGUAUCGAAUGAGGAGGAUUCAUUAAGUGAAUCAAUCUGGGUGGUACCGCGAAAAGUCUAUUAACCUUUCGUCCCUGUA